RNAcentral lists this ribosomal RNA (2202 nucleotides) under Triticum aestivum (bread wheat). Its description in RNAcentral is "partial small subunit ribosomal RNA". The record is from RNAcentral. Lineage: Eukaryota; Viridiplantae; Streptophyta; Magnoliopsida; Poales; Poaceae.
AUGCUUGGCGCCGCCGAGCCGAAGCGUCCGUGCCAUGCGGACGACGGCGGCGCCGGUGAUGCGGGCGAUGACCGUCUGAGCGCGCUGCCGGAUGAUCUCCUCCGGGCCAUCCUGUCGCGCCUCAAGGCCCGGCAGACGGUGCAGACGUGCGCGCUCGCCGCGCGGUGGCGGCACCUCUGGCGCGCCGUGCCGUGCCUCGACAUCAACGAGCGGGACUUCACGACCAACCUCCUGCGCGGCCAUGAGUUCACGCUCCUGGAGGACUUCCGGCUGCACGGGGCCACCGUUACCAUCGGGGAUCAUUGGCUCCGCCACGAGAUAGGUCGAGAUGCAUGGCCUCGCGGGCUCAGAAGGUUGCGUCUUUCAAACGUGGAAUUGCAACUGGCAGAUCUCGCGAGCCACAUCAGCAGCUCCCGCUGCCCUGCUCUGGAGGAGGCGCGGCUGGAAAAAUGCUGGUUCUUGCUCACCAGCAAUAUCAAGAUCGCCUCCUCCUCGCUCAAGAAACUGGUCGUCCAUGGCGAGUACAUCAUGGACGAAUUUGAAGUUUUCAAGUUGGUUAUAGACGCCCCUGCUCUUGUUUCUCUCCGCCUCGGAGGACGUGAUGACCAGUUAGGCAUUCUUGGCGCGCUGUCUAAUGUGACAACCUUGCACUGGUCGAAUUUUGCGGUCACGUUUAAGAACCUGAGAACCUUGUUCCUGGGUGUGUGCCGUAUCAGCGAUGACUUCCUCGGGCUACAGCAAUACCUGUGGAACUCACCUAACCUGCAGAGGCUCACCAUGCGCCAUUGCAAGGUCUUGGAUUUCCAACCUACAAAGGAGGUGAUGGAACGCCACCAAUCAUAUUCUAAGGACCUGGAGCAUUUCAAGUGCAAGAAGCUUAGGCUUUGUGACAGUGAUCCUUCUGUCCAUCUAUUGGUCAAUCAUGGCGGCGGCGGCGCAGCCACACCCAGCAGAUUAGUCGUCUCCCCUUCCUACGUGGCGCAGCAAUCCAGAACAGCCGACAUGCUUGAAUCCACGGACGCCUCCGCCGAGCCGAAGCGUCCACACCAUGAAGACGACGGCGGUGAUGCGGGCGAUGACCGGCUGAGCGCGCUGCCGGACGACCUCCUCCACGCCAUUCUAUCGCACCUCAAGGCGCAGCAGACGGUGCAGACGUGCGUGCUGUCCACGAGGUGGCGGCACCUCUGGCGCGCCGUGCCGUGCCUCGACAUCGACCGUGCAGACGUGCGUGCUGUCCACGGUUUUGACGGCUUCACGGCCAACCUCCUGCGCCGCCAUGACUUCACGAGCCUGGAAGAUCUCCGGCUGCACGGGGCCACCGCUGUCGUCGGCGACCGUUGGCUCCGCGGCGACAUAGGUAGAGAUACAUGGCCUCACGGGCUCAAAAGGUUGCAUCUGUCCGGCCUGGAGUUGCAACUGAAUGAUCUUGCGAGCCACAUCAGCAGCUCCCGCUGCCCUGCUCUGGAGGACCUGCAACUGAACAUGUGCUUCCACUUGCUUACCAGCAAUGCUAAGAUCAUCUCCUCCUCCCUCAAGAAAUUGACCAUCGUCGAUGGCGAGCACACGGUGGAGGAUCAUGAAGUUUUCAAGUUGUUUAUAGAGGCCCCAGCUCUUGUUUCUCUUCGUCUGGCCGGCGAGGAGUUUGAGCACAUUCUUGACACCACUCAGCCACAUACCAUGCCGUCUCUUGUCGAUGCGUCCAUUCAUCUGCCCUGGAUUUACCAGAGUUACCAGAACAUCAAAGAACAACUCUAUAUUCUUGUCACCAUGUCUAAUGUGACAACCUUGCGCUUGUCGCAUUUUGCGGUCACGUUGUUGUUCCUUGGGAGUCAUGAGGAUCUUGCUGUAUUCAAGUUUGACAACCUGACAAGCUUUUCUCUUGACGGGUGCCGUAUCAACGACGACUUCCUCAGGCUGCACCAAUACCUGUACAACUCCCCUAACCUGCAGAAGCUCACUUUGCGCCAUUGCAAGUCUACAAAGGAGGUGAUGAAACGCCGCCAAUCAUAUUCUAAGGACCUGGCGCAUUUCAACUGCAACAACCUUAGGCUUACUGAAAUCAUACACCGAGAUGGUGAUGCUUCUGUCGAUCCGUUGGUCAAGUUUUUCAGGGGCAUGCGGAGGAAUCUGCCAAACAACAAGGUCAAACUCAUUUCGCUCAAGAGGAAGAAAAACAUAACCAAACUCACUAUGGCCGAUUAG